This 253-nucleotide ribosomal RNA is filed under the name uncultured bacterium. RNAcentral's name for it is "partial 16S ribosomal RNA". It matches the Rfam family "Bacterial small subunit ribosomal RNA", at positions 524 to 776 of the family's 1533-position model. The record is from RNAcentral.
UACGGGGGGGGCAAGCGUUGUUCGGAAUCACUGGGCGUAAAGCGCACGUAGGCGGAUUUGUCAGUCAGGGGUGAAAUCCCGGGGCUCAACCUCGGAACUGCCUUUGAUACAGCAAGUCUUGAGUUCGAGAGAGGUGGGUGGAAUUCCUAGUGUAGAGGUGAAAUUCGUAGAUAUUAGGAAGAACACCGGUGGCGAAGGCGGCCCACUGGCUCGAUACUGACGCUGAGGUGCGAAAGCGUGGGGAGCAAACAGG